ACUAAAAGCUCAAACUGAAUAUCAAUUGCACAUUGUAUUUCUAUUGUUUUGCACAUUUUCAUAGGCAUCUACGAUAAUCAAAAGAAAGGCCAGAGAAAGUUUAGAUAAAAUAUCUGUUGAAGCAGACAAUGGAGUUGAUGUCCAUUCCAUCCUCGAGUAUUAGUCACCUCAUACCAAUGGUAGAGCUUGAAAAGCUAUUAACAAAACGAGACGACAGGCUCAUGAUCAAGGUCUUCAUAAUGAAGCAACCAUCUUACUCUAAGGUUAGUGCCUUCAUUGAAUCACUUAAUUCCUCCUCCAUCAGCAUUGUAUCCAAUUCAUUGACCUCCCUUCUGAAGACAAACCCACCACUUCUUUCGAUUUCUUUUCAUUUAUAGAAAGCAAAAAACCCCAACUCAAAGUUGUUCUUUCCAAGCUUACUCUUGUCUAGUCAAGCUCCAAUACAUCUCGAGUAGCUACAAAUGUCUUGGACAUGUUCUGUACACCGAUGAUAGAUGUGGCUAAUGAAUUUGGUAUCCCUACAUACAUAUACUAUGCCUUGGGUGCUAAUUUUCUUGGUCUCAUUUUUCAUAUUCAAACCCUUCAUGAUGAACAAAACCAGGACAUUGUUGCUUACAAAGACUCGGACACUAAGCUUGUUAUGCCAAGUUUUUUUCAACAAAGUCCCAGCUAAGGUCUUCCCUUAUGGACUUUUUGAUAACUCCAUUUUUUUUAUUAACCAAGUAAGGCAAUUCAAAGAAGCAAAGGGUAUUAUUAUAAAUACAUUAAUGGAACUUGAACCCUUCGCAAUAGACCCCUAUUUUAAUGCCAAUACACCACAAUUUUACCCUAUGGGACCUAUAAUGAACCUGAAGGGCGAAACCCAUGAGACCCAAGAGCCCCAAAAUGGUUUUGAUAUCGCUUUCCCUUGCACUUCUUUCUCUGGACCUUUCUUGCUCUUCGGUCUUCUUGGUGGGUCUUUGGGCCUUGAUUUUAAUUGGGCUUUCUUCCUUAUGGGCUUUUGGAUAUGGAUUUGCAAAAAUGGGCAUCAACAACGAUCAGCCUCUAUCAUUGUGGUAUUCUUAUGCUUUGGUAGCAUGGGAAGCUUUGAAAAAGACCAAGUUAAAGAGAUAGCAUAUGCAUUAGAGCAUAGUGGCCGUCGUUUCCUAUGGUCCCUGCAUAAGCCACCACCAAGUGGUGGGAUUGCAAGUCCAAGUGAUUACAUGACCCUUGAGGAAAUUCUGCCACAAGGGUUCAUCGAACGAACACAAGUUAUUGGUAAGGUUAUUGGGUGGGCUUCACAAGUGGCAACCUUGGCCCACUCAGCAAUCGGAGGGUUUGUUUCACAUUGUGGGUGGAAUUCUAUGUUGGAGAGCCUUUGGUUUGGUGUGCCUAUUGCUGCUUGGCCAAUGUGUGCUAAACAACAAAUUAAUGCUUUCGAGAUGGUGAAAGAGUUGGGAUUAGCUAUUGAGGUUAAAAUGGAUUAUGAUAAUAGUAAGCAAAUUACUGUAAUAGCUAAGGAGAUAGAGAGAGGGCUUGAAGCACUCGUCAGACUCAACCAUCAAAAUCCUGCUGCUUUUGCCUGGGUGUCUAAGACACAGAAAGUAACAGAGUCCAAUUUACAACGCCUUUCUCACUGUCAAACGAAGAUGCCUCCUAAAAGAAGAGGAGAGAUAGAGGUGACUACAGAGGAGAUGCAUUACACUGCCAUUUGCCUCCUUAUCUAUAGUUCAGAGGUUUUUGCAAUCAAAGGAGACUGGAAAGUUGCUAAAGAUGUCAUUGAAAAAUAUCCAGUUAUUGUUCGUGUUGCGAUAACCAGAAAGUGGGAGACAGCUCUGCAUAUUGCUGCUGCAGCAAAACGCACUGCUUUUGUAAAGGAGCUGAUUAAACAUAUGAACGAAGAGGAUCUAGCCUUGAAAAAUAAAGAUGACAACACUGCUAUUUGUUUUGCUGCCGCAUCAGGAAUUGUGGAAAUUGCUGAGGUCAUGGUGGAAAAAAACAAUAACCUUCCUAUGAUUCGAGGUAAUAAAGGAAUGAGACCCAUAUACAUGGCAGCUUUGUUUGGACACAGGAAUAUGGUGUCAUACCUCUAUCCUGUUACUAAUUUUGGAAGCCUAGCUCGUGAGGAACAAAUUAGCCUCUUUCUUGCUACAAUUUCAGCUGAUUUAUACGAUCUAGCUUUAAAAAUAUUGAAAGAGGACAGAUCAUUAGCCUAUGCUCGAGAUACAAAUGGUGAGACUGCCUUGCAUGUUUUGGCUCGAAAGCCUUCAACAAUUGCGAACAGAAGUGAUCUGGGAAUCUGGAAAAGAAGCAUAAAUUCAUGUUUCAAAUGGAUAUAUCACAAAGAUCUGAUGCAGACGUUAGCCCAUCAACUAGUCGAAAAACUUUGGGAACAUGUUCUACAAUUGCAAGAUUGGGAGAUUUCAAAACUAAUUAAAACACCUUCAAAACUACUCUUUGAUGCGGCAGAAUUAGGCAAUGUAGAGUUUCUGAUUAUCCUUAUUCGCGCAUAUCCUGAUCUGAUAUGGAAAGUUGAUCAAAAUAAUCGAAGUUUGUUUCAUACUGCGGUUCUUUAUCGUCAGGAGGCCAUCUUUAAUCUAAUAUAUGAGAUUGGAGCAAUUAAAGAUUUGAUAGCAGCAUAUAAGGAUAAAAAUAAUAAUGAUAACAAUAAUAUCCUGCAUCUAGCUGGAAACUUGGCACCACUUAGUCAACGUCAAAUUGUAUCAGGAGCUGCACUUCAAAUGCAAAGAGAGCUAUUGUGGUUUCAGGCAGUGGAGAAAAUUGUGCCACCUUCAUAUAUUAAGAUGAAGAAUUCAAAAAACCAGACACCCAAGGAGCUAUUUUCUGAGGAGCACAAGAAGUUGUUAAAAGAAGGAGAGAAGUGGAUGAAGAGCACUGCAACUUCAUGCAUGCUUGUUGCAACGCUCAUUGCCACUGUGGUAUUUGCUGCAGUUAUUACAGUACCAGGAGGAGAAAAUAAUAAUACAGGCGUUCCUAUAUUUCUAAGAGAGAAGUAGUUUUUGAUUUUUGUCAUAUCGGAUGCAAUAGCACUGUUCUCUUCCUCAGCUUCAAUAAUAAUGUUCUUGUCCAUUCUUACGUCACGUUAUGCAGAAAACGAUUUUCUUAUAUCACUACCCACAAGGUUGAUGUUUGGAAUCUCGACCCUGUUUAUCUCUAUUGCUACAAUGGUGCUAGCCUAUACUGGAGCCAUCUUUCUGAUCCAUGAUCAUAAAUAUGUUUGGGUUCCUAUCCUUAUUGUGUUUCUUGCUUGUGCUACAGUCUCAUUAUUUGCUUGGCAACAUUUUCAUCUUUGGGCUGAUACAAUCCGCUCAACCUAUUGGUCUAGGUUUCUCUUUCGGCCAUUUAAACAUAGGCUUUACAAUUGAAUUGUCAAAUUUGCCGAUGUACUUAUGGAGAUAGUGAAUAAAAAUCCUUUAUCUCA
This is an RNA transcript of Quercus lobata, 3421 nucleotides long. RefSeq lists it as uncharacterized. The record is from RefSeq and is a predicted model, not a curated record. Lineage: Eukaryota; Viridiplantae; Streptophyta; Magnoliopsida; Fagales; Fagaceae. The transcript has 8 exons.